UCAAGCGUUUAAGGGCGUGUGGCGGAUGCCUUGGCACUGAAAGCCGAUGAAGGACGUGGUAUACUGCGAUAAGUUACGGGGAGCUGUAUGCAAGUUUUGAUCCGUAAAUUUCCGAAUGGGGAAACCCACCACUUUAUGUGGUACUUUAAACUGAAUUCAUAGGUUUAAAGAGACAACCUGGAGAACUGAAACAUCUAAGUAACCAGAGGAAAAGAAAUCAAUUGAGAUUCCGUUAGUAGUGGCGAGCGAAAGCGGACUAGGCCUGUAGAUUUGUUAAAAAAAUUUGAAUAGUUUGGAAAAGCUAACCAUAGAGGGUGAUAGUCCCGUAUAAGUAAUGUUUAACAAAUUUCUUGAGUAAAGCGGGACACGUGAAAUCCUGCUCGAAUAUAGGGGGACCACCCUCUAAGCCUAAAUACUCUUCAGUGACCGAUAGUGAACUAGUACCGUGAGGGAAAGGUGAAAAGAACCCCUAUUAGGGGAGUGAAAUAGAACCUGAAACCGCAUGCCUACAAUCAGUCGAAGCUCUUUUUAGAGUGACGGCGUACCUUUUGUAUAAUGGGUCAGUGACUUAAUUUAUUAAGCAAGCUUAAGCCAUCUAGGUGUAGGCGCAGCGAAAGCAAGUCUUAAUAGGGCGAUUAGUUUAAUGAAUUAGACCCGAAAACGAAUGAGCUUACCAUGAGCAGGUUGAACGCAAGGUAACACUUGCCGGAGGACCGAACCAGUUGACGUUGAAAAGUCUUUGGAUGACUUGUGGUAAGGGGUGAAAGGCCAACCAAAUUCGUAGAUAGCUGGUUUUCCGCGAAAACUAUUUAGGUAGUGCGUUGAAUAAACAUAUGUUUGGAGGUAGAGCACUAAAUGGGCUAGGGGAGAGAAAUCUUUACCAAACCUAAUAAAACUCCGAAUGCCAAACAUAAUUCCUCAACAGACAGACUGUGGGUGCUAAGGUCCAUGGUCGAGAGGGGAACAGCCCAGAUCACCAGAUAAGGUCCCUAAAUCAUGAUUAAGUGUGAAAGGAUGUGGAGAUUCCAUAACAGCCGGGAGGUUGGCUUAGAAGCAGCCAUCCUUUAAAGAUAGCGUAACAGCUCACCGGUCUAAUAGAGUUUCUGCGCCUAAGAUGUAACGGGGCUCAAAUCAUGUACCGAAUCUGUGGGUGUAUAAAGUUUUCGAAUUUUAUACGCGGUAGCGGAACGUUCUGUAAGCCUGUAAAGGUGUACCCGCGAGGGACACUGGAGGUAUCAGAAGUGCGAAUGCUGACAUAAGUAACGAUUAACAGAGUGAAAAACUCUGUCGCCGAAAAUCCAAGGGUUCCUGCGCAAGGUUAAUCCGCGCAGGGUUAGUCGGCCCCUAAGACGAGGGCGAAAGCCGUAGUCGAUGGGAACCAGGUUAAUAUUCCUGGACCAGAUGGUAGUGACGGAUUUUGUAAAUUGUUAACUCUUAAUGGAUUGAGUUAGCUGUGAAAAAGUCCCAGGAAAUAGCUCCAUCAUAAGACCGUACCCUAAACCGACACAGGUGGAUUAUUAGAGUAUAAUUAGGCGCUUGAGAGAAUGAUGUUGAAGGAACUCGGCAAAAUGCCUCUGUAACUUCGGAAGAAAGAGGACCUUUUUUAAGGCAACUUAAUUAAGGUGGCACAAGCCAGGGAGAAGCGACUGUUUAUCAAAAACACAGGACUCUGCUAACACGUAAGUGGAUGUAUAGGGUCUGACGCCUGCCCGGUGCUGGAAGGUUAAUGCGAUGGGUGCAAGCUCAUUUCUGAAGCCCCAGUAAACGGCGGCCGUAACUAUAACGGUCCUAAGGUAGCGAAAUUCCUUGUCGGGUAAGUUCCGACCU
Molecule: ribosomal RNA, 1827 nt
Filed under: marine metagenome
Description: bacterial LSU rRNA
Rfam family: Bacterial large subunit ribosomal RNA
Source: RNAcentral